RNAcentral lists this ribosomal RNA (492 nucleotides) under Salmonella enterica subsp. enterica serovar Schwarzengrund. Its description in RNAcentral is "bacterial LSU rRNA". It matches the Rfam family "Bacterial large subunit ribosomal RNA", at positions 49 to 580 of the family's 2925-position model. Lineage: Bacteria; Pseudomonadati; Pseudomonadota; Gammaproteobacteria; Enterobacterales; Enterobacteriaceae. The record is from RNAcentral.
AUGAAGGACGUGCUAAUCUGCGAUAAGCGCCGGUAAGGUGAUAUGAACCGUUAUAACCGGCGAUUUCCGAAUGGGGAAACCCAGUGUGACACGUCACACUAUCAUUAACUGAAUCCAUAGGUUAAUGAGGCGAACCGGGGGAACUGAAACAUCUAAGUACCCCGAGGAAAAGAAAUCAACCGAGAUUCCCCCAGUAGCGGCGAGCGAACGGGGAGGAGCCCAGAGCCUGAAUCAGCAUGUGUGUUAGUGGAAGCGUCUGGAAAGGCGCGCGAUACAGGGUGACAGCCCCGUACACAAAAGCGCAUGUGCUGUGAGCUCGAUGAGUAGGGCGGGACACGUGGUAUCCUGUCUGAAUAUGGGGGGACCAUCCUCCAAGGCUAAAUACUCCUGACUGACCGAUAGUGAACCAGUACCGUGAGGGAAAGGCGAAAAGAACCCCGGCGAGGGGAGUGAAAAAGAACCUGAAACCGUGUACGUACAAGCAGUGGGAGC